GAUCGGGCGGUCCACGGCUGGGCACGUGGACCGCAGAAAUAUUUUUCAGCCAUUUCUCAUGGUUCACGGCACUAUACCAUAGACCAACGUGCGAUCGGAUGGUCCAAGAGACUUGCAAUGUUGAUCUAAUGGCUUGGGGCCUUAACUGAGUUUGAUUAGGAGUUCUAAACCUAAUCUAAUUAAGGUUUAGACCUUAUAAAAGGCCC
RNAcentral lists this long non-coding RNA (206 nucleotides) under Elaeis guineensis (African oil palm). RNAcentral's name for it is "long non-coding RNA (EGUI_LNC036119)". The record is from RNAcentral. Lineage: Eukaryota; Viridiplantae; Streptophyta; Magnoliopsida; Arecales; Arecaceae.